Molecule: non-coding RNA, 111 nt
Filed under: bovine gut metagenome
Description: Glycine riboswitch
Rfam family: Glycine riboswitch aptamer
About the family: This family represents the bacterial glycine riboswitch. Glycine riboswitches usually consist of two metabolite-binding aptamers domains with similar structures in tandem.
Source: RNAcentral
CGAAGCUCCGGAAAGUGGGGGGAUCGACCCUCACGCCGAAGGUGCAACCGGACGCGGGGCGCGCGAAACAAGUUUCGCUCCGGGAAUCUCUCAGGCAAAGAACGGAGGCGC